This 30-nucleotide non-coding RNA is filed under the name Mus musculus (house mouse). The record is from RNAcentral. Lineage: Eukaryota; Metazoa; Chordata; Mammalia; Rodentia; Muridae.
AAAGGCUAGGCUCACAACCAAAAAUAUAAG